Molecule: long non-coding RNA, 1173 nt
Organism: Toxorhynchites rutilus septentrionalis
Lineage: Eukaryota; Metazoa; Arthropoda; Insecta; Diptera; Culicidae
Exons: 3
Source: RefSeq, a predicted model, not a curated record
ACGCAUCAUCGAAGUCUACCCUGGCUCCGACGAUGUAGUCAGAGUAGUGAAGCUACGAACACCGAGUGCAGCCGUCUACAAACGUCAGGCUUCACGUGUUUGUCUAUUUCCAUUCGAGAAGAUAGCUGCCAACCCACUACUCACUAGUGCAACUCCGGAUGAUAUAGGAGGAGCACUGAAUUAAAAAAAUAAUGAAUUUAUAAAUUUAAUAUGUUUAAGUCAAAUGAAUUCGUAAUCGAUUUUUGUGAAUUCCUUAACAGAAUUUAGGUGGUCGACAUGUUAGGUAGUUUGAUACGCUGCAUCCCCCCCGUGUAGCAUAAAAUUCUCAGUUGUACUCUCGUUUUCGUUCGCUACACGGGGCCUUAGCUGACUACACUGGAGGAAAACAUUAGUAAAUGCAGCUACCAAAUCUUUAGUAGUUGAAACAUUGGUAAAAUGUACGCAUUUUUUGUACAUAUUACCAAAACUUUGUAAAACGGAUGUCUUAUGCAAUACACAUCCCUACUAAAGAUUCGUACAUUUUACUUUAUAGCAUGUGUAACCUUGAUUGUUUUCAUUUCUAGGAACUGUAAUGUGCGUACUUCGCAGUCGUCGUUCCUCUUGAGGAAACAAAACUAUUCGGAGCUUCUAACCUUGGAUUAAAAUUGCACAGUUGACUGGUGGAAUAUUCAAUGUAUAUUAGACUGAGCAUGUGCAACACAAAGAAAUCUCAGGAAACGGGAGAGCAAAUAAUGCGGAUGAAAUGUACUGCGAUCUGGUCCCAUCAACUGCCAACUAAUCAGUUGUUCCAGUCCUAAAGGAUGAAAAUGUGCAACAGGAAAAGGAGCAAAACCUUGAUGAGUGAGGGUUUGAAAAAACAUAUGAGAUUGAUUCGGUCGAGGCUGCGAUUAAAUCUGUCUAUUUGCACGAGCAAUGUUUAGAUGUAGAAUGUAGGAUGUAGGAAAUUACUGUGUAAAAGAUAAUGUAUGAUUGAAGACAGCUUUAUAAAUAAGAAUUAAUUAUCAACAACAUAAUGUCAUUAUCCCUUAUCAUUAUCUCUUACAAAUAAAAAACAACGUUUUAACUGAUGUUGUUCCAAUGGUGGGCCAACAUGCCCACCAUCCUACAAAAAUAAUGCCUACAAAUUUCCUUUUGUAAGAUGUACCAAUGAUUAGUAGGGUAGAAAAUGACUAA